Molecule: ribosomal RNA, 373 nt
Filed under: uncultured organism
Description: partial 16S ribosomal RNA
Rfam family: Archaeal small subunit ribosomal RNA
Source: RNAcentral
CAGCACCUCAAGUGGUCAGGAGGAUUAUUGGGCCUAAAGCAUCCGUAGCCUGCUUUGUAAGUUUUCGGUUAAAUCCAUCUGCUCAACAGAUGGGCCGCCGAAAAACUGCAAAGCUAGGGAGUGGGAGAGGUAGACGGUACUCGAUAGGAAGGGGUAAAAUCCUUUGAUCUAUUGAUGACCCCCUGUGGCGAAGGCGGUCUACCAGAACACGUUCGACGGUGAGGGAUGAAAGCUGGGGGAGCAAACCGGAUUAGAUACCCGGGUAGUCCCAGCUGUAAACGAUGCAGACUCGGUGAUGCCCCUGGCUUGUGGCCAGUGCAGUGCCGCAGGGAAGCCGUUAAGUUUGCCGCCUGGAAGUACGUACGCAAGUAUG